Molecule: ribosomal RNA, 472 nt
Filed under: uncultured bacterium
Lineage: Bacteria
Description: partial 16S ribosomal RNA
Rfam family: Bacterial small subunit ribosomal RNA
Source: RNAcentral
GACGAACGCUGGCGGCGUGCUUAACACAUGCAAGUCGAACGAUGAACCCGGAGCUUGCUCUGGGGGAUUAGUGGCGAACGGGUGAGUAACACGUGAGUAACCUGCCCUGGACUCUGUGAUAUGCGUUGGAAACGACGUCUCAUACCGGAUAGGACCUUGUAUCGCAUGAUCUGGGGUGGAAAGUUUUUUCGGUCUGGGAUGGCUUCGCGGCCUAUCAGCUUGUUGGUAAGGUAAUGGCGCACCAAGGCGUCGACGGGUAGCCCGCCUGAGCGGGAGACCGGCCACGGUCGGAAUGCGACAGGGACCAGACAGUUGCGGGAGGCAGGAGAGGGGAGUAUUGCUGAAGGGGCGACAGCGUGAUGGAGCAGAGCGUCUUGGGGGAGGAAGGCCCUCGGGUUGGAAACGACUAUAAGUAGGGAAGAAUGUGCACGGCUUGACGGUACCUGAACAGAAAGGACCGGCUAACUACGUG